AAAGCCAGCUGGCACAUCAAAAAGACACUCAGACAACCUAUGGAUAGGAUUGGGGGUUUUGCUCCAAAGGCCAACAGCCAGUGAAGAACUGAGGCCUGCUGCCAACCACAAGAGAGAGUCUAGAAGAGGAUUCCAGCCCCAGGCAAGUCUUGAGAUGACUGCAUCCCUGAUGGCCUGACCGCAAUUUUGUCAGUGACUUUGAGUCAGAAUCUCACAGGAACUGAGAGGAAGUUUGGCAUGCUUUAACGGCAUUUUAAGAAGUUAUCUGAGGGGCAGGCUUCUGGCAAACUGAGUGCUUCAGCUGCAGAGAAAAAGGACCCAGCUGCACCUUCUGUGAAACUGAAACUGGGGUCACUGGGAUGGGCCCUCCUGGAGUAGGAUGACAGGAGAGAUGGGAAUGCUGGGACCUGUGGGGGGAAGAAUAAUGCAGCUGCUAACAGCUGCCCAGAUGAAAGCAGUGAUGUUGCUAGGAGAAUAAAUAACAUCUGUUGACCUCUGGACAGCUCUUUGUGGUUUACAGAGCUCCUUUGCUUUCGUCAUUUCAUGACCAUCUUGCUCCAAAUGAGGGGAGUUGGGGUGAGAAUCUCCCCUUUACAAAUCACCAAAAUAAAGAUUCAGAGAUGCUGUGUGAUUUUCCUCGGGUCACACAGCUUGUUAGCAGUAUCAUUUGCAUAUGAUUUGCAUUCAAGUUUCCUAAAACCAUCCUUCCCACCCAAUUCCGCUUUCAUAUCUCCGGAAGCAGCCGGACCCAAGGAGGUCUUUCUGAGGAUAGGCUGCCAGAACAGCCUCAAAGGUGUCAUCUUAAUGCGAAGUCCACAGAGGAAAUGAGGAAGCAGAUGAGAGGUACAUGCAGAACUCACCAAAAGAACAGGGCAGCAAAUCCACCUCAGGUGAGACCCAGUUUCAAAGGACUAAGGAAGGGAAUGGCGGGGUUGAGCCUAGCUAGGAGGUAAAAGGAGAGGCUGCCUGGAGAACAGGGACUCUUUUCUUUAUUUGUGAGAAAAGCAAAUUUUGAAAGACAGACAUCAUUACCAGAAUGUGGGCAAAGCCCAACUAUGUAAUGGAGAUUAUAUGAAAACAGAAGGUUGGUAUGUAAUAUUUUUAAGUACGCAGGAGAGCAUCAAAACUGGAUACACUCUUGAUACUUAUUAAAGCUGACUUUUUUUAAGGGCAUUAUUGGGAAUGAAGAAAUUGAAUUUCCAGAUUUCUUGAGCCAGAUGACGGUCUUUGGCAUGUUUUGGGAAGCGUAAUCCCAGGCCCCUUUGAGUCCCAUUCCAGUCUCCAGUUGGAGCGUUGAGGCUGCUGACCAAACAGCCUGGUCUGGCUAUUUCCUGCAUAUCAACCAUGCCUUGGGCUCUUGGCUGUGCUUUUGUUUGGAUUCCAUAAGCUGCAGUGAGUAAUAUUCAUGAAUCCUAUUCUGAAGAUGUUAAUUACUCUUUAAGAGUACUAUUAUUGGAUAUCACAAACUUUUAAAAAAACUAGCCACAUAAGAGUUGCAAUCAGUCCC
This 1507-nucleotide long non-coding RNA is filed under the name Homo sapiens (human). RNAcentral's name for it is "HSALNT0153065". The record is from RNAcentral. Lineage: Eukaryota; Metazoa; Chordata; Mammalia; Primates; Hominidae.